RNAcentral lists this ribosomal RNA (951 nucleotides) under Collimonas sp. M1U16. Its description in RNAcentral is "bacterial SSU rRNA". It matches the Rfam family "Bacterial small subunit ribosomal RNA", at positions 493 to 1449 of the family's 1533-position model. The record is from RNAcentral. Lineage: Bacteria; Pseudomonadati; Pseudomonadota; Betaproteobacteria; Burkholderiales; Oxalobacteraceae.
CCGGCUAACUACGUGCCAGCAGCCGCGGUAAUACGUAGGGUGCAAGCGUUAAUCGGAAUUACUGGGCGUAAAGCGUGCGCAGGCGGUUAUGUAAGACAGGUGUGAAAUCCCCGGGCUUAACCUGGGAAUGGCAUUUGUGACUGCAUAGCUAGAGUGUGUCAGAGGGGGGUAGAAUUCCACGUGUAGCAGUGAAAUGCGUAGAGAUGUGGAGGAAUACCGAUGGCGAAGGCAGCCCCCUGGGAUAACACUGACGCUCAUGCACGAAAGCGUGGGGAGCAAACAGGAUUAGAUACCCUGGUAGUCCACGCCCUAAACGAUGUCUACUAGUUGUCGGGUCUUAAUUGACUUGGUAACGCAGCUAACGCGUGAAGUAGACCGCCUGGGGAGUACGGUCGCAAGAUUAAAACUCAAAGGAAUUGACGGGGACCCGCACAAGCGGUGGAUGAUGUGGAUUAAUUCGAUGCAACGCGAAAAACCUUACCUACCCUUGACAUGUACAGAAUCCCGAAGAGAUUUGGGAGUGUUCGAAAGAAAACUGUAACACAGGUGCUGCAUGGCUGUCGUCAGCUCGUGUCGUGAGAUGUUGGGUUAAGUCCCGCAACGAGCGCAACCCUUGUCAUUAGUUGCUACGAAAGGGCACUCUAAUGAGACUGCCGGUGACAAACCGGAGGAAGGUGGGGAUGACGUCAAGUCCUCAUGGCCCUUAUGGGUAGGGCUUCACACGUCAUACAAUGGUACAUACAGAGGGCCGCCAACCCGCGAGGGGGAGCUAAUCCCAGAAAGUGUAUCGUAGUCCGGAUUGUAGUCUGCAACUCGACUACAUGAAGUUGGAAUCGCUAGUAAUCGCGGAUCAGCAUGUCGCGGUGAAUACGUUCCCGGGUCUUGUACACACCGCCCGUCACACCAUGGGAGCGGGUUUUACCAGAAGUAGGUAGCCUAACCGUAAGGAGG